Molecule: long non-coding RNA, 5580 nt
Filed under: Taeniopygia guttata (zebra finch)
Lineage: Eukaryota; Metazoa; Chordata; Aves; Passeriformes; Estrildidae
Description: lncRNA (ENSTGUG00000022375.1)
Source: RNAcentral
UUUUUUUUUUUUUUUUUUGGUUGGUUGGUUGGUUGGGUUGGGUUUUUUUUGUGAAAACCCUUGAUUUAAACAAAUUGAUAAAAUUUCAGCUUUCUCUUUGAAAAAGUGGUCUCUGUACCAAGGGAUAGUUAUUUAAUACCAUUUGGGACCAUUAAAAUCAAAUUACAGAGGAAUUCCCAUUAUAAAUUAUAUUUUGUAGUAAUAAGAAAUAAAGAUGUGUUAAAUAUGAGCAGAGUGUGAGAAUAUUUAAAUUAUUUUUGUUACAAAAAAAGAUAAAAUUAUGAACUUUUUCCCAGUAUCUGUGCUUUAUUUUUUUUGCAAAAGUAAGUGUGACCUGCAUAAUGGCUGUAUACAAAUAACAAGUUAGUCAUAAAAGGAAAGUCUACAGAAAGCAGCAUGUGGUGGUUUUAUUUAGUGUGGCUUUUAAGUUUCAGGGAAACAGAUCAAUAUAAGUGAUCAAAACUGAAUGCUAAAAAAAUUUGAUUUCAUGAAGAAAUUACUUAUACUCUUUAUCCCAAUUAUCAGGACACAAAAAGAGGUGAAGGUGAGACUAGAUAAGAAAACACAAGUUUCAAGUAGCUCCAUUUUUGUUCAAGUUUUGCGUUAACUUUUUCUGAUCUUCGGCUUUCCCCAUUUGUGGCAAAUUUUGGGCAGGAGGGAAUAGAGGGGAAGGAAAACAAAAGAAAGAAAAAAAGAAGAGUCUUGUCAGCAUUGGUCAAAACCAACUGUAUGUCCUUUACCAUUUCAGUGGGAUCUCAUAAGGGCAGAGUAGAGGAAGAAGUUAUAUAUAUUUUUUUUUCUCAUGUGGUUUCAGGGAUAUGUGGUUUCAUAUUCUGUGAAAAGAACCCCAACAAAACAAACCAACAAACCAACACAAAAACCCCCAAAUCUUUAUAAGGGGUAGAGAGAAAGGAUACCCUUUAGCAUUGAUUAUCAAAUAUGUCCCUCUCCAAAUUGUUAGUAAUCCUAAUUCUGUUACACAGUAUGAAUAACUAAAUUAAAAACCUAAAAAAUGUGAACCCUGAGUUUUGAAGGACAAAAAUAUUUCCCUCUUUGCUAAUAGACUAAAUUUAUUAAUACAUUUUGAUAAGAUACAAUAUGGCUUUGUAUAAUGCUCUCUGGCAGUAUAUAACCAGAUGCUCACUAACAUCCCUUGGACAAUUUGACUUCCAUAUGUGCCUUUCCUUAUGCUUUUCUUGCAAGGCAAUUACCAUUCAUUCAUCAAAUGACUGCCUCAUGGAAAACUCAAAAUCCUUUCAUUCCUCACCUGUUGUGCUAGUUCCUCUCCUCCCGCCCUUCUCCUCAUUCUAGUGGACUUUUAAAGGGACAGAUUUCACUGAUACAGAGAAGGAGCACAUCUUUUUUCUUCUGGCUCAGCUUCUCAUAGCCCUUGCCCAAGAUGGUCAGACACUUCCCCACACUGUGGGUAUUUUUUAACUAAAAUUUCAACCAUCUUCAGAAGGAACCACAAACUGAGUGAAGCAGCAGAUGACCAGCAGCAGAAAGUCAAGAGCUGCCACACUAUAUCUUCCUUUUGUCAGAAAGAAAAUUCAGAACAUGUCAGGAUGAGUUCAUUCAAAGCUAGUCCUGGGGUGCUGGUGAACAGAAAAUGUACAGAAGCAGAUAUGGAUGUACUGACACCAUAACAUAUUUCCAAGGCCGUGUUUCUGGCUAAGACUAUCCACUAAAAUAAAUUUUUAAAAAUAAAAUCAUAGCCUAGCUUCAAUAAAAUAUUAAAUUAUUUGGAAAACUAAUAAAAUUUGUCUCCACCAUAACUGAUCUCCUCCCAUGCUUUGCUGUUGACCACAAACUGCACAGCUCAUAAACAAAAAGAUCUCUUAAGGUUGACAAUGCAGCACUGCUUCUUGCGAGGCUCCCCCAAAAAGCACUAUGUCCAUGCAUAGUUUUAUUUUCUAUUAACAGGUGAAUUUUAACCCUCAUGUCACCAAAAUUCUAAGUUUCUAUGAAUAACAUCAGCAAAGGUCAAUCUCCAGUCUUCUAAUCUUCAUUACUCCUGGAGUGUUAGGCAGCUGUCAUUUCCCUCCUCCACAAGUCUUCCUCACUAACUUGAGCCUCUCCACAUCCUAAUUCCCUUUUAAUCCCAUAAGAAAAAGGCAUUGACUAAACUUUCAAGUGCUUCACUUAGCAGAGGCUGAUGGGAAUUGUCAUUGUUCUGCCAGACUGCUCUAGCCCACAUCCUUAAUCUCUGGGUUUGCCUGUCAUCUCACACUUAUUUCCUGUUUUUUCAUCUUCAGUUCAUGUAACCAAGUAUCAACAUACACCCUGGUUUUUAUAUCUUCUUUGCUGAGUUAAUGUGUGUAUCACACCUGAAGUACAUAUCUGUAAAUAUCUGUGGGAGUGUAUUUUUCUUGUGUUGUCACACUGCCGAGGACUACAGAUCCCUUAUCAUUGCCUAGGAUUAAUAACCAGAAUUAUGUGAAGGAGCACAUACAACCAGAUUCCACCUCAAUUACUAAAUAACCUUCCAGAGUUUUCUUAAUUAUGUCUGGCCAAUAUAUGAGUGACAACUCUCUGUGCCCUUGCACACCUUCUAGAACACCCUCCCAAGAAGAGAUUUGAAAACAUGCAUCCCACAUCUAAAUAUAAAGUGAAUGAUGCCAGCUCUAUAAAUUACUUUAGGAAGACAGAACGGAAGGAAGAUUUAAAUGUAAGGAUGAGAGAAAAUCUCUGUGCAUCAGGCAAAGGAUGUUCAGAUACACAACUGGAUAUCUGCAUGUAUCUGUAGUAGAAACAUCUGCUGGUUCUUAUUGCUGCUUCCCUCUUCUUUUUCUAUUUCUGUUCAUUUUCUUCCUAGCCCUCUUUAUUGAAUCUAGAUGCUCUUUCCUUAUUAUUAUUUUUCAUAUUUGAUUACAAGCUUCUAAGAUAAUAAAAGGCAAGGAAAAUUAAAAAUGGUUUCCUCUAAUCUCACCAGAUCUACACUUUCAUGGCUAAGUUUCAACUCAAUUCUUAACAUUUUAAAUUGUUAUUUUUAAUAAUAAGCAUUAUAUACUGGGGCUUGCUCAUUAAACAGGCCUAUAUUACUGUAGAUCUAUAUUUAAUCAACAGCUGGCUCCACCUAGUGUCCUAUUAAUUCAUCAGUGAAAGAGAAAGCUAAAACGAAAUACUAGAGAGAAGACAGAAAUAAACUAAAAAAUCUCUUGUCAGCUGGGUGAUGGCCACAGACAGCAUGAAGUUACAAUUACUGGCAUCACAGGGAAAAGAAUAUUUUAAGUAACUACUGCAUGAUGAUUGCCAGCCAGCAUUCUGGAGACGUGAAGAGACUAAGCAGAUUCAGGAGUAUAAAGAUAUAAUAUAUGCAAUAUAAAACAGUUUUACUGCUACCCUGAAAAGGAGAAUGAGUCUUAAGCUGUUUAUAGGGGUUACUCUCUCUAUGGUUUCACUGUGAUCAACAAUGAGAAAGUAUUGUUAAAUUUAAUUGAACUUCUAUGAAAUAGAAUGAAAUUUUAUUUUAUUGCCAUCAAAACUACAGAACUAUUUCUGGCUAUUCAUACCCUACAGUGCUCCUCUCUGUUAAUGAGUAGAUCUCCCCUCCCAGCAGUUACAAAAUAAUUUAAAAUGUCUCUUGUAAAUGAUCAAAACAGGGAAAUGCACAAGAAGCUAAAUAACACUAGCUAUUAGUUUUACUGAUCCUUACAUUCAAACUUUCCAAAGGCUGGUUCACUGCUAUGUAUCUAGAAACAUCUAUCUUUCUAAAACUGUUACAGUUUUACUCAGCAGCAUUUAGUCUUUAAUAGCCUGAUCCCUGUUGACAAGACAACACAGAGUACAGCCAAUAAAGUAAUUUAAGAUAAAGUCAGAAAAGUGAAUAUCCAGUUUGACAAGUAAUUUCUUGAUUAUCACCUGUGAAAAAAAAAAUUUCUAAUGAAGAAAAAUCUAAUGAAGAAUGGAGUUUACAUAGAAGAAAGCAUUUUGUAAAGUAAUCCAAGUAAUUUAACAUAAUCAUAGCCUGUGAGCUAUUAGGCAGUGUUUGAGUGGUUGUUGAACCUUCGAAUAGGAAGAAAGAGAAUGCAUUACAUUUACAAAGCACUACUUUCACUUCUCUGAUCGAGGGCGAUCCACUCUGGUAGAGCUGAUGUCUGUUUUAAACCUGUUCCUAUCACCUGUUCAGAGCUGCUCCGCCGGUUCACCCUAGUGGUGAUAAAAUAUAUUUCAAUAUGUACAAUAUACACUUAAUGACUGUUCACCGUGACAGACAGGGAGAAUAUAUAUGUUGUGAGGGAUAGGUGGACAAGAGGAAGGAUCAUGUAAUAAUACAAUACCUACACCAAAGAAAACACCUGUAAAUUUUCUCAAACUCUCUCAAAAUAUUCAAAGUUAUGUUUGUGACCCACCUAAAGUAUUCACAGUUAAAUUCAGUUAUUAUAUGAAAACCUCACAGUGCAACACAGAAUAUGAAUUUAAUAAAAUGCACACAGAAAUGCUCUCUAAUGUUUUAAAAAUAAGAGAAUACUCAAGUUCUCAACAGUUAAGCAGUUACUGUCAUUUCUCAUUAACAGCUUUCAGAACCCUGCCUGAAACAAGUUGAUACAGAGAAAUUAAGAACAGUAAUCAAGCGAGAAAUGACAGACCAGCUGGGUAGGCAUCAAGUUGGCAAAACGUGAAUACAGUUCAAUAGCUGAAACAGAUGCUGGAGUUGUUGAGAAACCCUGCAGGAGAUAUUGAUGUAUUUUCUUUAUAUAAUUCUGAACAACCGGAUAAAUGUCAAGAGCUAAAAACUGAUGGGGAAUAAAACCUGUCAUAAAAACUAACUGUAAAGCAGAGACAUGCAAUAAUAUCCUUUCAUUAUACCAGAGCAUUCAGUACAUGCAUCUUCAUUUCCUUGGAAUUCCUCAAUAUGCCAAUAUAUCAAUCAGAGCUUGCUAGUGAAUCGGAGGGAGCUUUUCCCAGUCUUGUUUCACGUUUGUUUGUUUCUAUCUACCUGAGGCUUCAGAGACUUAGAAAAUACUUUAUUCUUCAGUCUCAUCCUAACAGAACACUCUCUUUCAAGCAAGCAAUUCCCCGAGCUUGCAGGCAAGCAGGAAAGAAAGAGUAACACGAGCAUAUAUAUGAAACUGCAAAAUCCAUUUUGCACGAGGAAUUUUGUUUUCAGAGUUUCAAGACCUCAGCAACAAAUCCUCUGUCAUCAGUGACAGCUCAUUCUAGCAUAUGCUUUGUCAUGGUCAGUUUCUAAUUACAUUCAUAAUGAUGCAAUAGCUUUGAUAAUCCUACCUUCCAUGCCAGCUGCUUUUCUUGUCACUCCAUCAUGCCAAUAAGUUGGCUGCCGUAACAAAUCAAGAUAGUGCAAAACAGCAUCUUUCCCCUGCAUCUGUCAUCUUCCUGAAAGCAUUCUAUUACUGCCGACUGCUGGGAACCAGAAAGUCUAUUUGAAUUCCAGCAGCUCCCCUUUCGCAUGAUUCAAGUUAGGUUAGGUGGGCAUGCCUAACAUGAUUCUCUCCAUCAUUUAUUAUGCAGCUGCUACACCGUCGGUGUGGUAACCACUCUGACUUUAUCUGAUACGUCAGUCUUGCAAACCUCUACCUCCGUGCAAGCCCACGAGCCACAGAAGCAUCUUGCAUUUAA